Molecule: non-coding RNA, 67 nt
Organism: Podarcis lilfordi (Lilford's wall lizard)
Lineage: Eukaryota; Metazoa; Chordata; Lepidosauria; Squamata; Lacertidae
Source: the annotation of a GenBank genome assembly
GAGCUCAGUCGGGUUAAACAUGGCGCUGAUAACGCCAAGGUUGCAGGUUUGAUCCCCGUAUGGGGCA